CACGGUACAGUGAGGCAUCAAGCUUAAGGAGCUGAGAGCGAGAAAGCUAAUAUCUGGGCAUUUGCUUUCUGUAGCACACUGUAGCUCCUAAGCGCUUCUCAGGAUAAGCUUCAGGAAUUGUUUCUUCUGGAAAGUGCAGUCCUUCACACGUUGUGGCCGUGGUGAAAAUGUUUACAACAGCCUCCUCUAGCACCACUUUCAGUAGUAACAGCUGAAAGCCUUGACAGAGUUCUGAAGAUCAUAUUCCCAAAGACGAGGAAGUGAAAGGACAGACCACUUCCUUCUUAUGGAGACUGGCAGACUCGAUCCUAGGAACUGAGCUUCACUUUUAAUGAGCAUAACUCCUAUACAGAUGUGCCUCCCUCAUGAAGGCUAAGGCAAGCCCACACAAUCAUCUGCCUUCAACAAUCUCCCGAGUUCUACAAACAACUUUUCAAUAAGCCAUAUUAAGAGAGGCCUGAGGUGGUAGGGAAAGAGGGGUUGAAUUACAUAGGUCUUUUAGGUUCAUGGCCUAGCUUUCUCCCAUUAGAAUGUGAAGUGCUUGACAGCAGGAAGUGUUUUGGUUUUGCCUUUAUUUCAUCCCACACCUGGCGUAGUACCUUGAACCAAGCAGGACUUAAUAAGUAUAAUCCCCCUUCUGCCCAAGCUUCAGGCAGUAUUUCUGAGGCACAGUCCUGUGAUGCUAUACUAUAUCCCCCGAAGGAGAUGUGACUGAGGGACCCCUCUGAGCCAGGGUGCUAGGUAUGGGGCUGAUAACUUCAGAGGACUUUGAAAGAAGUAUUUGAGAGAAACAAGGAGAUCUCCCUGGAGCUGCAGACAUGGGGAAUACAACACCCAGUGUACCCUCGAUUACCAUAGGAGAGACUGUCUUGUCUUGGAAGUCCUGGAUCCUACUUAUCCCAUCCCAGUAAACUCCUGGAAGGUGCCCCCAUACUCCUGAAGUUCAGCGUUUCUCAUCAUUUCAACAUUAACAGCUCAACGUGGCACUGUUGCCCACUUGACUCCCACUCAGCCAGAAAUUCAGGUUUGUGGGCAGCUAAAGGCUAGACCCCUUAGGUCUGGCUGGGCUAUGACAGAUGAAUGUACCACGUCACACAGAUCACCAAACCUCAGCAUGUUAUCUGAAGAGAAGUUAAGUUCGUUGUAGAUAUACCCUUAACCUUUGAAGAAUAAUGACCAUUCUUUCUCACAAAGUGUUCCUUGGUGCCAUCUAAAAUGGAAUCUUGGGCUGAAAGGACCAGAGAUUUGUUCUGAUUUUACAAUCCUAUUCAAGACCAUUUUUUUUUAAAGGAUAACCUCUUUGCUGGAGCUGUUUUCUGUAUUUGUGGGGUUGAAUGUAGGUGUAUGACAUUCUGAGCAAGGCUUUUUAAAUCCGUGUAGAAUUACCAGUCUUCCCAGACCUGCUUGGAUAAUUACUUUUCUCCCUCCUUUGUGUGAAAUGCUAGAAUAAAUAAGAAAAAAAUCAAUAAGUGUGGCGAGAGUAUGAGUUUGGUUUAGCUCAGGGCCAGGCAGACAUAUGUGAGAUGACAUUUUUAUGAAGACUUCAAUCUACAUUUGCUGGUUGGAGCAGUGAGUGAUUGCUUUAAUGGGCUUGGCAUUGGGAUUUUGACUCCCACAUUCUCUGUGGGGAAGGAGAACAGCUAGGCCCUCUGGAGCCUGGGUGGAGGUGUGGGGAAUAGCAACCAUCUGCUCUAUUUUAUCCAGGUUGGGUUUCCCAAACUUAGGCCACCUGACUGAAAGGCAUUUUUAUUGGCCUUAGUUUAUACCCAUAACCAACUUGGAUGAAUUCUAA
Phascolarctos cinereus (koala) is the source of this 1792-nucleotide non-coding RNA. Lineage: Eukaryota; Metazoa; Chordata; Mammalia; Diprotodontia; Phascolarctidae. The record is from RefSeq and is a predicted model, not a curated record.